This 65-nucleotide transfer RNA is filed under the name Coleoptera sp. 1 KM-2017. RNAcentral describes it as "tRNA-Glu". It matches the Rfam family "tRNA". Rfam says of the family: Transfer RNA (tRNA) molecules are approximately 80 nucleotides in length. Their secondary structure includes four short double-helical elements and three loops (D, anti-codon, and T loops). Lineage: Eukaryota; Metazoa; Arthropoda; Insecta; Coleoptera. The record is from RNAcentral.
AUUUAUAUAGUUUAAUUAUAAAACAUUUCAUUUUCAAUGAAAAAAUGAGGUAAACUCUUUAAAUA